Molecule: ribosomal RNA, 491 nt
Filed under: uncultured bacterium
Lineage: Bacteria
Description: partial 16S ribosomal RNA
Rfam family: Bacterial small subunit ribosomal RNA
Source: RNAcentral
GUGAACGCUGGCGGUAGGCCUAACACCUGCCAGUCGAACGGCAGCACCGUAAGAGCUUGCUCUUACGGGUGGCGAGUGGCGGACGGGUGAGGAAUACAUCGGAAUCUACUUUUUCGUGGGGGAUAACGUAGGGAAACUUACGCUAAUACCGCAUACGACCUACGGGUGAAAGCAGGGGAUCUUCGGACCUCGCGCGAUUGAAUGAGCCGAUGUCGGAUUAGCUAGUUGGCGGGGUAAAGGCCCACCAAGGCGACGAUCCGUAGCUGGUCUGAGAGGAUGAUCAGCCACACUGGAACUGAGACACGGUCCAGACUCCUACGGGAGGCAGCAGUGGGGAAUAUUGGACAAUGGGCGCAAGCCUGAUCCAGCCAUACCGCGUGGGUGAAGAAGGCCUUCGGGUUGUAAAGCCCUUUUGUUGGGAAAGAAAAGCAGCAGGUUAAUACCCCGCUGUUCUGACGGUACCCAAAGAAUAAGCACCGGCUAACUUCGUG